This 246-nucleotide ribosomal RNA is filed under the name uncultured bacterium. RNAcentral's name for it is "partial 16S ribosomal RNA". It matches the Rfam family "Bacterial small subunit ribosomal RNA", at positions 15 to 263 of the family's 1533-position model. The record is from RNAcentral.
GAUCCUGGCUCAGAUUGAACGCUGGCGGCAGGCUUAACACAUGCAAGUCGAGCGGGGUGAAGUGCUUCGGUACUGAUCCUAGCGGCGGACGGGUGAGUAAUGCUUAGGAAUCUGCCAUUUAGUGGGGGACAACAUUCCGAAAGGGAUGCUAAUACCGCAUACGUCCUACGGGAGAAAGCAGGGGAUCUUCGGACCUUGCGCUAAAUGAUGAGCCUAAGUCGGAUUAGCUAGUUGGCGGGGUAAAGG